Molecule: ribosomal RNA, 253 nt
Filed under: uncultured bacterium
Lineage: Bacteria
Description: partial 16S ribosomal RNA
Rfam family: Bacterial small subunit ribosomal RNA
Source: RNAcentral
UACGAAGGGUGCAAGCGUUGUUCGGAAUUAUUGGGCGUAAAGCGCGCGCAGGCGGAUAAAUGUGUCAGAUGUUAAAUUACGGGGCUCAACCCCGCUAGUGCAUCUGAAACUGUUUAUCUAGAAUGUCGGAGGGGGUAGGGGAAUUUCACGUGUAGGGGUAAAAUCCGUAGAGAUGUGAAGGAACACCUGGGGCGAAGGCGCCUACCUGGACGAUUAUUGACGCUGAGGCGCGAAAGCGUGGGGAGCAAACAGG